AGCAGUCGCCACGGUAAAACGAAGGGUGCAAGCGUUAAUCGGAAUUACUGGGCGUAAAGCGUGCGUAGGCGGUGAGUUAAGUCUGCUGUGAAAUCCCCGGGCUCAACCUGGGAAUGGCAGUGGAUACUGGCUCGCUAGAGUGUGUCAGAGGAUGGUGGAAUUCCCGGUGUAGCGGUGAAAUGCGUAGAGAUCGGGAGGAACAUCAGUGGCGAAGGCGGCCAUCUGGGACAACACUGACGCUGAGGCACGAAAGCGUGGGGAGCAAACAGGAUUAGAUACCCCCGUAGUCCCUGUCUCUUAUAA
Molecule: ribosomal RNA, 303 nt
Filed under: uncultured bacterium
Lineage: Bacteria
Description: partial 16S ribosomal RNA
Rfam family: Bacterial small subunit ribosomal RNA
Source: RNAcentral